UACGUAGGGUGCGAGCGUUAAUCGGAAUUACUGGGCGUAAAGCGUGCGCAGGCGGUUUUGUAAGCCAGAUGUGAAAUCCCCGGGCUUAACCUGGGAAUGGCAUUUGGGACUGCAAGGCUGGAGUGCGGCAGAGGAGACUGGAAUUCCUGGUGUAGCAGUGAAAUGCGUAGAUAUCAGGAGGAAUACUGAUGGCGAAGGCAGGUCUCUGGGCUGACGACUGACGCUCAUGCACGAAAGCGUGGGGAGCAAACAGG
This 254-nucleotide ribosomal RNA is filed under the name uncultured bacterium. RNAcentral's name for it is "partial 16S ribosomal RNA". It matches the Rfam family "Bacterial small subunit ribosomal RNA", at positions 524 to 776 of the family's 1533-position model. The record is from RNAcentral.